GUCUACGGCCACGCCACCCUGAACACGCCCGAUCCCGUCUCAUCUCGGAAGCUAAGUGGGGUCAGGCCUGGUUAGUACUUGGAUGGGAGGCCACCUAGGAAGACCAGGUUCUGUAGGUG
RNAcentral lists this ribosomal RNA (119 nucleotides) under Pteropus alecto (black flying fox). The record is from RNAcentral. Lineage: Eukaryota; Metazoa; Chordata; Mammalia; Chiroptera; Pteropodidae.